GGUAACUUCCGGUUCCGCCAUAUCGGGAAGGGCACUUCCGGUGCCGCCAUGUUGGGAAGGUCAAACCGGAGGAUUAUAGGGAAUUUUUUUGGGAAUAUUUUGAGGGGGAUUUUUGGGAAUAUUUUGGGGGGAUUUUUGGGAAUAUUUUGAGGGAGUUUUGGGAAUGUUUUGGCGGGUUUUAUGAGGGGAUUUUUUGGGGAUAUUUUGGGGAAUUUUUUGGGAUAUUUUGGGGAAUUUUUUGGGACCUUUUUGGGGGAUUUUUGGUGCAAUUUGGGGGAUUUUUUGAGGCGAUUUUGGGAACUUUUUGGGGGGAGAUUUUUUGGAAUAUUUUGAGGGAUUUGGGGGAAUUUUUUGGGACAUUUUGGGGGAUUUUUGAGUCAUUUUUUUGGGAAGAUUCUGAGCUUUUUUUUUUUGGACUUUUUUGGGGGAAAUUUGAGGGAUUUUGGGACCCAAAUCCCCUCCCCCAAUUCCUCACUGACACCAAUCCCAAAUUUUUUUUUUGCCGGAAAAUUCCAAAAGGGGUGGGGGAGGGGAUUUAGGAUCGACCCCUCCCCCCCUCUCUUUAUUGGGGUGACAUCGAGGGGAGACAGAAUUCCAGAGGGGGGGGAAAAAAACGGGAAUUUUGGGUGGAUUUUAAGGGAAUUUUGGGGAAUUUGGGGUGGAUUUUAAGGGAAUUUUCAGUGGAUUUGGGGUGGAAUUUUAAGGGGAUUUUGGGGGGAAUUCCAGGGAAAAUUUCAAGGAAUUUCAAGGGGAUUUUGGCGUUGGGUUUGGGGGGAAUUCCCAGGAUUUGGGGGGAAUUCCCAGGAUUUGGGGCUGAAUUUGGGGGGAAUUCCUGGGAUUUGGGGCAGGAUUUGAGGCUGGAUUUGGGGACAGGAUCUGGAAACAAGUCCUGGGAUUUGGGGGAAAUUCCCAGGAUUUGGGGCAGGAUCUGGGAACAAUUCCAGGAAUUCAGGGCAGGAUCCGGGGCCGUUUCCCGGGAAUUCAGGGCAGGAUCUGGGGACAUUUCCCAGGAUUUGGGGGCAAUUCCAGGGAUUCAGGGCAGGAUCCGGGGCCGUUUCCCGGGAAUUCAGGGCAGGAUCUGGGGACAUUUCCUGGGAAUUCAGGGCAGGAUCUGGGGACGAUUCCCAGGAUUUGGGGCAGGAUCUGGGGACAUUUCCUGGGAUUUGGGGCAGGAUCCGGGGCCGUUUCCCGGGAAUUCAGGGCAGGAUCUGGGGACGAUUCCCAGGAUUUGGGGCUGGAUUUAGGGACAUUUCCCAGGAUUUGGGGCUGGAUUUGGGGCAGGAUCCGGGGCCGUUUCCCGGGAAUUCAGAGCAGGAUCUGGGGACAUUUCCCAGGAUUUGGGGCUGGAUUUGGGGCAGGAUCCAGGGCCAUUUCCCGGGAAUUCAGGGCAGGAUCCGGGGCCGUUUCCCGGGAAUUCAGGGCAGGAUCCGGGGCCGUUUCCGGGGAAUUCAGGGCAGGAUCCAGGGCCGUUUCCCGGGAAUUCAGAGCGUUCCGCGCUCGACGCGGGCGCGGCCGAGCUUCAUCCCGCGGAUGAUGAGGACGGUGCCGGCGGCGAUGCCGACGAUGCCGACGGCCAAGCCCAGGGCGCAGAUCGCCGUCUCCGUGGCCUCGGACGCCGGCGCCGGGAUCUGGGGCUCUGGGAAAAGCGGGAAUUCCCGGGAGAUCCCAAAACCUUCCUCAUCCUCGUCUUCGUCCCGAAAACCCCUGAGUUCUUCCUCAUCCCGAAUUCUUCCUCUUCUUCCUCAUCCCAAAUCCUUCCUCAUCCCGAAUUCUUUCUCUUCCCAAAUUCUCAUCCCGAAUUCUUCCUCUUCUUCCUCAUCCCAAAUUCUUCCUCUUCCCAAAUUCUUCCUCUUCCUCUUCUUCCUCAUCCCAAAUCCUUCCUUAUCCCGAAUUAUUUCUCAUCCCAAAUUCUUCCUCAUCCCGAAUUCUUCCUCUUCCUCCUCAUCCCAAAUCCUUCUUCAUCCCAAAUUCUUCCUCUUCCUCUUCUUCUUCUUCCUCAUCCCAAAUUCUUCCUCUUCCUCUUCUUCCUCAUCCCAAAUCCUUCUUCAUCCUGAAUUAUUUCCCAUCCCAAAUUCUCAUCCCAAAUUCUUCCUCUUCCUCUUCAUCCCAAAUCCUUCUUCAUCCCAAGUUCUUCCUCUUCCUCUUCUUC
Molecule: long non-coding RNA, 2149 nt
Filed under: Cyanistes caeruleus (blue tit)
Lineage: Eukaryota; Metazoa; Chordata; Aves; Passeriformes; Paridae
Description: lncRNA (ENSCCEG00000004561.1)
Source: RNAcentral